This 423-nucleotide long non-coding RNA is filed under the name Coturnix japonica (Japanese quail). Its description in RNAcentral is "lncRNA (ENSCJPG00005003776.1)". Lineage: Eukaryota; Metazoa; Chordata; Aves; Galliformes; Phasianidae. The record is from RNAcentral.
GCCAUUUAUUGACCAUUUAUUUGUUGAUAUACAUUAAUUCUUAAAGUAGGACUUAGAUUUUUAUAUUCAAAGAUUGUAUAGCAUUAUUGAGUAAAUGCACUUCUUUUUUUCUGUUGUAGAAUGCAAAUGUAUUUAACAACCUGACUGAGUUACAGCAGAAGAAAAGGAAAAUUUCAGGCCCACAGGCCGAUAUCGCACCCUGCAGCUGAUCCUCCAGGAGUAAAGGUGAUAGAAGCCUCUGAUCCUCCUAAUUGCACCACAAAUUUUGAAAAGAAAAAUAUUAAGGUAAAAGUGUCCCUGUUGUAGACCAUUGCUGAAAUAUGUCUGAGAACAAAUUGUAGAUAACCUAACAGUAUCAGUUUUAUUGUAGUUCUGUUUUAUAAAAAACAUGAAAAAAGCAAAAAUCUAUGGAAGCUGUGUCAG